Molecule: long non-coding RNA, 317 nt
Filed under: Homo sapiens (human)
Lineage: Eukaryota; Metazoa; Chordata; Mammalia; Primates; Hominidae
Description: non-protein coding lnc-HLTF-4:1
Source: RNAcentral
GUUAAUGGCACUAAUUAGGGAGAAAUUCAAACUGGUGUUGAGAAGUGUAUCCAGAAGUUUCUGGGUAUUGCAAGACAGAACUUAUUUUCCUACCAAAAAAUAUUGCAGUUAUCUUUCAGAAAACCAGAGCAAGGCAUCCAAAAGGAUAUGUUGGCAAUAAGGAAUAAAUUAUAAUGGAAAGAUGCUCUGGUCAAGAAACAUUUGAUAAAACAAAGGCAGGUGCUGGACAACAUCAACAGGGAGCACAAAAGCCUUCAGAAAUUCCUCAAAAGAACUUGAUGUACCUGGAAAAGGCUUCUGCUAAUAUCCCUGCACCU